GGAGAGGUGGCAGAGCGGUUGAAUGCACCGGUCUUGAAAACCGGCAAGGUAGCAAUACCUUCCAGGGUUCGAAUCCCUGCCUCUCCGCCA
Molecule: transfer RNA, 90 nt
Filed under: Alphaproteobacteria bacterium
Lineage: Bacteria; Pseudomonadati; Pseudomonadota; Alphaproteobacteria
Description: tRNA-Ser
Rfam family: tRNA
About the family: Transfer RNA (tRNA) molecules are approximately 80 nucleotides in length. Their secondary structure includes four short double-helical elements and three loops (D, anti-codon, and T loops).
Source: RNAcentral